UGAUUUUGGCAAGAUAAACUU
Caenorhabditis elegans is the source of this 21-nucleotide non-coding RNA. The record is from Ensembl. NCBI's taxonomy places the organism in Eukaryota, Metazoa, Nematoda, Chromadorea, Rhabditida, Rhabditidae.